GAGAAGGGGCUGGUCUGGCGCGACCAGCAAGAUGCAUGUCUGAUCCCACGCGUGCGACCACGAGAUAGCAGAGUACAAGGGGGUCGAAGGAAAGAAAAUCAUCAGCGCCGACUGCCUUUUUCUCCCCUCCUCCUCGCUGCCUUCCACUACUCACCUACCACCAGAUCGAACAAGGGGAUCAAGGGGAACCAGUAGAAGAACCAGAUCGAAGGAGAGAGAGAGAGGGAGAAGAGGGUGCCGGGAGACUGGCGGUGGCGCCCGAUCCACCAUGAAGCUGCCCCGAACUGAUCGGCGAUCCACCGCUCCUCUCCAACUACGACGCCGACCUGCUGCACUUCCUCGUCUCCAACGACGACGCCGACCUGCUUCACUUUCUCGUCUCCAACCUCAAGAUCGACCACUGCUACUCAGCUCCAACUCCUGCUGCUGCGACCUCCCUGACCGACGAUCUCUGCCACUCCUUCUCUCCCCCUCCUCGCUGCUGAGAGGGAGAGGAUCGACCAGAGGCCAGGGGCGUCGGGCCUUCUGGUGCUCCACGCAAGAUCGUCUCCAACGUGCUCUGCUGCUACUCUUCUUUGCCUGCAACAUCUACAGCUUCGGAUCGAAGAUCAUCAAGACCCAUAGGCUCUGAACCUCUUUCUUCUCUUGUUCCUGUUCUCUGAAUAUAUGCACUGUUGGAUCUGAAAAUUACUUUGUUACCUGUGUACCUUUGCUGAAACCUCAUGUAUCCUUGCUGAAUUGUUGUUACACUUGCUGGAUAUUAAGUUAGUAGUUAUUCUCCUGUGAGCCGCUGUCACAUUAAUUGGUUGCAUGAGUUGUGUGUGAUGUCUGAACCAUCUUCCAUGUGCUAGUUUUACUUGUCUGUUUGAUUACAAGAAAACCACUAAAAAAGAGACAAUCCUAUUUCUGAACCCUUUACCUUUGCUGCAUUUUAUUUUGUUUUACCUUGCUCUAGUAGCUGCUUGUUGUCACUACGGUUUAAUUCAUCUAUUCCGUUGUUCUGAAUGUGUGCUUCGAAGUUCUAGAUCCCUGAGGAGAACACGACAUCUGUAGUUUGGGCGCAAAAACCCUGCUAUAUUACACUUGAUCAUUUUGGCGCCGUUGCCGGGGAUCUAAAUUUCAUUAGCACAUUAGUAGAAGCAGAUCAGGAUUUAUUUUAGGUCGACUACGUAGUAUUGCUGGCAACUAACCAUUUCCUAACAUUGGCUGCAGUUUUGAGAAAACUAGCAUGUGUCAAUUUCAGGAACUUUAUAGGAAAUUGUCUUAUGCUUCAACCUGACUAUUCACUAGAGCCA
RNAcentral lists this ribosomal RNA (1295 nucleotides) under Triticum aestivum (bread wheat). RNAcentral's name for it is "partial small subunit ribosomal RNA". The record is from RNAcentral. Lineage: Eukaryota; Viridiplantae; Streptophyta; Magnoliopsida; Poales; Poaceae.